This 240-nucleotide ribosomal RNA is filed under the name Bacillus sp. 34(2016). Its description in RNAcentral is "partial 16S ribosomal RNA". It matches the Rfam family "Bacterial small subunit ribosomal RNA", at positions 129 to 357 of the family's 1533-position model. Lineage: Bacteria; Bacillati; Bacillota; Bacilli; Caryophanales; Bacillaceae. The record is from RNAcentral.
CCUGUAAGACUGGGAUAACUCCGGGAAACCGGGGCUAAUACCGGAUAGUUCUUUUCCUCGCAUGAGGAAAAGUGGAAAGGCGGCUUCGGCUGCCACUUACAGAUGGACCCGCGGCGCAUUAGCUAGUUGGUGAGGUAACGGCUCACCAAGGCAACGAUGCGUAGCCGACCUGAGAGGGUGAUCGGCCACACUGGGACUGAGACACGGCCCAGACUCCUACGGGAGGCAGCAGUGGUCAUA